Molecule: ribosomal RNA, 252 nt
Filed under: uncultured bacterium
Lineage: Bacteria
Description: partial 16S ribosomal RNA
Rfam family: Bacterial small subunit ribosomal RNA
Source: RNAcentral
UACGUAGGCAGCGAGCGUUGUUCGGAGUUACUGGGCGUAAAGAGUGCGUAGGCGGUUUUCUAAGUUUGGUGUGAAAUCUCCCGGCUUAACUGGGAGGGUGCGCCGAAGACUGGAAGGCUUGAGUAUGGGAGAGGUAAGCGGAAUUCCUGGUGUAGCGGUGAAAUGCGUAGAUAUCAGGAGGAACACCUGCGGUGUAGACGGCUUACUGGACCAUAACUGACGCUGAGGCACGAAAGCGUGGGUAGCAACAGG